ACGUAACACCUCACUACGCAAGACAGAGCGGGAUAACUCGAGAGUGUUAACUUGACUGCCGUGGAAUUAAAAGAGAGGUUAGAAAAUUGAGAAAAUUGCUUCUUGUCGCGAUUUGGGAAAGAAAAGAGACCUCGUGGCAGGUUUUGUGAUCGGAUUACUGAAACGCGUCGGCACGAGUUGACUUACAGCAGGAUGGCCCGUCACGUGUUUCCGCUCGUCCUGGUGGUCGUGGCUCUCGUCGUGAGGAUCAUACUCGCGGCGCCGUCGACCUCGGGAAACACGGCCAACGACAUCAACAGCAUAAGGACGUCGGAUGAGGACGUCAACGUCUCGGAGGCCAUCUUCAACUCCAUCGGCGUGAGACCCUGUCAGCGCCAUUGCUACAGACGAGACCAAACGGGCGAAUGUCGGCUCAACUUCUCCUGUUUCCUUGGCUUGAACUGAGCUCUUGAGUUACGCCGGGAUUCUUAGGGCUUGAAUAUUUUCGUUUACUUUUUUUCUGAGUGUCACUUUCUGUCUAUCUCUGUGUUUCUUUUCUCUUCUCUCUGUGGGGGGGGGGGACUUUUUGUUUGUAGCGGACUUUUUAUUCUCUUCAUUUAAUGCAGCAAUUAGGGUUGUUUUCACUUCUUGAUCUUUACUGUUGUUAUAAAUCCGUUUACGUUUUUCUUUUUCCCAUUUUCCCGUUGCCAAUUAUUUCUUACCUUUAUCUGAAAAUCCCGUUUUCAUCAGAAAAGUAUCUUUUGUCAUCAUUUGCCUUUCUUGUUUCUAAAACCACAAUAGAUGUUUCUUGAUAAUAUUAGUAUUUAGAAUGAAUAAAUUUCAACUGGAUUAGC
Penaeus vannamei (Pacific white shrimp) is the source of this 833-nucleotide non-coding RNA. The record is from RefSeq and is a predicted model, not a curated record. Lineage: Eukaryota; Metazoa; Arthropoda; Malacostraca; Decapoda; Penaeidae.